GGCAAACAAGAUUUGCCCCCCAUCCCCUUAGCAAAUGAUGAAUACCAAGCUUUUUACUAACCUCAUUGAGACCCCUUACGUUCCAACUAAUGAGUUUUGGCAUCAUUGUAACACUCCAUAACCCCUUCCCAUUGUUCAUUUCUUGGACUCGCCACCCUUACCAGCAUAGUUUACUGACCAUUCGAGCCUCUUAAGUUCACGAUCACCCUUUCUUCUUAAUCUACUUCCAUGUGUACUAAUGUCUUGUCCCUUAUUAGCCUCCAGCUCCUCGAAUAAUUGUAACAAUCUACUUUCAUACCCAUCACAUGACACGCCAACCAACUUACUGAAUUCCUGAAUUUUUUGUAGAACCCAGUUUGAAGGUGGGUGAUCAACUUCUAACACAUCAGUUCCUGAAGUAUCCUUACCCUGAUAGCCCUCGAGAUGAUCAAAGGACCGUUCUUUCUCUCCCACCACUGGUAUAAUGUCACUAUCACUUUCUCCUUUCUUGGCACCACCUACCCAUAACACCAAGGCUUUUUCGGUUCCCAUAUCGUUAUCUUUUGUCCUCCUAUUUUAAGUGUUCGUAAUCCUUGAUGUCGCCUGUGUAUAGUUGUUUUCUUUCACAGUGUCCAUUGACAAUUUCUCCAAGUUCACCAUACUAAACUCCCCUUCCUUAGACAGCGGUUCCUCUUCUCGUUCAACUGCAGUCCUUGUGUCUACUUCAGUUCGGUUGACCCCCACAAAGUCAACCCUGUCAUCGUUUUCAUGGUAUCCCGCUUCCAUCCUCACCUGAGAAUCACAAUGUUCAUCUCCUCCCUGCUUUGCAUGUUCUGUAAUUGAUGGUAGUUCCUCAUGAGUCAAUCCCGAUACGUGUAUUUCACCGGUUUGAUCCUCAUCCAACUCAACCCCACACUUGUGACAGCGUACCAAUUUCAUGGGCUCCAUUUCAGGCCCGCUUCCAACCAGUCUAAGUAAUUCAUCUAAUGCUCCUUUCAACUCCUGCGCACGGGUCAUUAUUUCAGCCCUACUCAAACAAAUGUCGUGACCUUCGUUAUCACCGACUUUAUUUGUCCUUUCCUUUUGCUGAAGCAUCCGUUGGUUGGCAUUCUCCGAGGUCUGUGAGUUUGCUGUAAUUUUUGCAUAAGUCAUCCAUUGUCUGUUUCGUUCAAUCACCGUUUGUCGUUUGGCCUUAUCCCUAGCAACAAAUGAGUCAACAACUGCUUGAAACACCUGCAAGACCGACACCCAUCCCUCUCCAUUUGCACCUUCUGGUAUCAUAACAACUCCUUUCCGACGCCUCUCCCCAUAUUGUGCUAUCAUCAAAUAUCUGCCUCGAUGGUUCACACACCGUUGUGCCAAGAAAGCUCUUGAAGACUCAUUGAACUUAAAAACACAUUCCUCAACUUCACUUCUCUUCCUCAGUCUGUCUACCAUAUUCACCAUCCAAAUAGCACCAUACCUUCCCAUAAAGAUUGAAUCCGAUAACUUCGAACCCCAUUCUGUCAACUUAGCAGUGCUAGAAUCGUUAAUAGAUACUGCGAAGUCCUUCGCCUCCACUCUGAAACGAUGAUUGAAUACCAAACUACGCACAUCCGCCAAUUUUUUCCCCUGAUUGUGUACUAGCAAUUCAUCAAAUGGAGGAACGGACAAGCCGAUUGAUCUCAGGGCAGCAGACUGCCGCUGCAGGUUUUCCGGCGGCGGCGCGUGGACCACACGCGCUGGCAGACACGCAGCCGGAGCGGCGCGUGUGGGGGGCAGGACACCGGCAGGUGUCGCCGGUCCCUGCUGAGGCCGUCGGUGAGGCGCGUCUCCUCGAACUGUGGCUGGAUCUGGCGGAAACGGUUGGGCGACGCUAGGGUUUCUCACAGUAAACUGCGCCUGUGUGUGAAUGGCGUGGUUGGAAGGGCUGAUUUGUGGCGUGAGGCCGGUAGUGUGGGGGUGUGGUGGCUGGGUUAUUUUGGAUUGUGAGGGGAGCUCUAUUUCGCCUCUCACAGAACUCUCGCUGGACCGAGAGAAACUUUUGUUAGAGAAAACGUGAUACCGAAAAUUGACCCAUGAAUAAAGCAAUGGAUCGUGAAUAAGCAAUUUACCCUCCUGCUCCUCCUCCUCCAUGUUUAUUUUUUAGCUGCGGGGCACUGGAAGGAGAAGGAAAUAGUUGGAGACUGAGUGCUAAUUCAUUCAUGAAAGAUUUGAAGAAUCUCUAAGAGACUCUCUAUUUAUA
RNAcentral lists this long non-coding RNA (2203 nucleotides) under Olea europaea subsp. europaea. The record is from RNAcentral. Lineage: Eukaryota; Viridiplantae; Streptophyta; Magnoliopsida; Lamiales; Oleaceae.